This 494-nucleotide ribosomal RNA is filed under the name uncultured bacterium. RNAcentral's name for it is "partial 16S ribosomal RNA". It matches the Rfam family "Bacterial small subunit ribosomal RNA", at positions 28 to 507 of the family's 1533-position model. The record is from RNAcentral.
GAUGAACGCUGGCGGUGUGCCUAAUACAUGCAAGUAGAACGCUGAAGGAGGAGCUUGCCCUUCUGGAUGAGUUGCGAACGGGUGAGUAACGCGUAGGUAACCUGCCUGGUAGCGGGGGAUAACUAUUGGAAACGAUAGCUAAUACCGCAUGACAACAGUUAUUGCACGAUAACCGUUUAAAAGGGGCAACUGCUCCACUACCAGAUGGACCUCCGUUGCAUUAGUUAGUAGGUGAGGUAAGGGCUCACUAAGGCGACGAUCCUUAGCAGACUAGAGAGGGGGUCGGCCACACUGGGACUGGGACCCCGCCCCGGCUCCCUCGGGAGGCAGCAGUAGGGGAACUUCGGCCAUGGGCCGAAGGCUGACCGGGCAACGGCGCCUGGGUGGAGGAAGUUUUCGGAUCGUAAAGCUCUUUUGAAAGGGGAGAACGAGAGUGAGAGUUGAAAGUUCACACUGUGACGGUAUCUUACCAGAAAGGGACGGCUAACUACGUG